This 433-nucleotide ribosomal RNA is filed under the name uncultured bacterium. Its description in RNAcentral is "partial 16S ribosomal RNA". It matches the Rfam family "Bacterial small subunit ribosomal RNA", at positions 29 to 507 of the family's 1533-position model. The record is from RNAcentral.
AACGAACGCUGGCGGCAUGCCUAACACAUGCAAGUCGAACGAGACCUUCGGGUCUGGUGGCGCACGGGUGCGUAACGCGGGGGAACCUGCCCUUGGGUUUGGAAUAACUCCCCGAAAGAGGUCCUAAUACCGGCGCAUGUCUCCGGACCAAAGUUUUAUCGCCUUUGGAUGGGCCGGCGUUGGAUUAGCUAGUUGUUAGGGUAAAAGCCUACCAAGGGUAGGAUCCGUAGCUGGUUUGAGAGGAUGCGCAGCGACACUGGGACGGAGACACGGCCCAGAAUCCUACGGGAGGCAGCAGUGGAGGAUAUAGGACAAUGGGCGGAAGGCUGAACCAGCAAGGCCGCGUGAGUGAUGAAGGUCGUGGGGUUGUAAAGCUCUUUUACCCGGGAUGAUAAUGACGGUACCGGGAGAAUAAGCACCGGCUAACUCCGUG